GUCCCAGCUGUAAACGGUGGGCACUAGGUGUGGGGGGCAUCGACCCCUCCCGUGCCGCAGCUAACGCAUUAAGUGCCCCGCCUUGGGAGUACGACCGCAAGGUUGAAACUCAAAGGAAUUGACGGGGGCCCGCACAAGCGGUGGAGCAUGUGGUUUAAUUCGAUGCAACGCGAAGAACCUUACCCAGGCUUGACAUGCACCGGAUUGGUGUGGAAACACACCUUCCUUUCGGGGCCGGUGCACAGGUGCUGCAUGGCUGUCGU
This 263-nucleotide ribosomal RNA is filed under the name uncultured bacterium. RNAcentral's name for it is "partial 16S ribosomal RNA". It matches the Rfam family "Bacterial small subunit ribosomal RNA", at positions 793 to 1055 of the family's 1533-position model. The record is from RNAcentral.